RNAcentral lists this non-coding RNA (23 nucleotides) under Arabidopsis thaliana (thale cress). The record is from RNAcentral. Lineage: Eukaryota; Viridiplantae; Streptophyta; Magnoliopsida; Brassicales; Brassicaceae.
GAUGGCAAUUACAACGAGGACUG